CGCUUACGUAGCCGUGAUGUCACCUACGUUUCUCCUACGUCACUACGUUCCCAUGAUGCACCGCGAAACUCGUCGUGAGCGUCAUGUGGUCACCGUCUGAGUAAAGUGAGGCGUGUUUGGACUAAUGCUGACGGUGAGGACACGUUCGAGAUGCAUUCGGUGCAGCUCGAGCUG
Molecule: long non-coding RNA, 174 nt
Organism: Sinocyclocheilus grahami
Lineage: Eukaryota; Metazoa; Chordata; Actinopteri; Cypriniformes; Cyprinidae
Exons: 3
Source: RefSeq, a predicted model, not a curated record